Aedes aegypti (yellow fever mosquito) is the source of this 746-nucleotide long non-coding RNA. RefSeq lists it as uncharacterized. The record is from RefSeq and is a predicted model, not a curated record. The transcript is spliced from 3 exons. NCBI's taxonomy places the organism in Eukaryota, Metazoa, Arthropoda, Insecta, Diptera, Culicidae.
GUAAUGUCUUAGGUUUGAAAGCAAUAUCAUGGCAAAGGAUUACCGUGGCGCAGAAUUCAUAAAUCAUCAAUUUUCUAGACAAAUUCUCGGAUAAAUUUCAGGAUAUAAUAGAUACUACUUUGAGCUUGAGCUUGAGCUUGGUCCCGUGGUUGCUACUCGACUGUAGCAAGAUCAGCUGCACUUACAUAAGCAACAAUGGCGCCUGUCAUGCCAGGCAGACCAAUGAAGAGAAGGGGCAGGAAUUGGUGUUGCAUUUGAAACUGGCCCACAAUAAACCGGAUAUACCCCUGCAUUUUCGCCAGAUCUUAGAGCGGAUUUUGUUUUUCAACCCGGAGAAAAAUCCCACCGGAGUUAAACAUCGGAAAAGCGGUUCGUUACAUUGUAGGUUGCGAAAUAGCAACAACGGAAGCUCAAAGAUCUCACAGUUUUACAAGGGGAGACGCGGGAAGAGACAGCAAAAGGAUCAAAGGAUCACUCGCGACGAAGGCAAGAAGGCAGGAAAUGAGCUCACGCGGAAGUCGCAAGCUUUGAACUCGGUGCACUGAUGCUCUGCAGCUUCGCCGUUUGGGAAUUCCACUCUCGGGACAAUUUCCUCGUUUCGUAAUUAAAAAUUGACGGAAGGCUUUCUGGCUCGCGAAAAUAAAGGACGUAAUCAGGAAGGGCGAAAAUUCGAAUGAUAGAUAAGUCGUAUUGAAUCAUUAAUGCCAUUUAAAGUCGUGUCAAGUAGCCAUUUUAGGCUAUUUUAA